This is a long non-coding RNA of Gallus gallus (chicken), 2012 nucleotides long. NCBI's taxonomy places the organism in Eukaryota, Metazoa, Chordata, Aves, Galliformes, Phasianidae. The record is from Ensembl.
GAAAAGUCUGAUUUCUUUGUUGUAAUGAGUGCCCUUUGAAAAGCAGAUGAUGUCAAAAGAAUGACUGUAAAAGUUCAUUUUUCUGUAUCUGACACGAGUUCAGUGAGUGCAGACCUCAGCUUACUGCAGCUCAUACCAUUAGGAUUACUAGUUAAGAUCCAAAUGCUGGUCAAGCGUGAUGUCCCUGCUCAUGACUGCAUGACUUCCACUGAAAACCAUUGAGUCACAUGAAUAUUGGAUGAAAAAUUCAUCCUGCAGAAUCUGUAGUACAGCUUGGGAUGCUCUUGGUAAGAUGUGAUGUAUCUGUCGUGAUUUACAGGUCCCAGGGAGUCUACUCUCCCAGACAGUAAGAAACUGAGAAGCAAAAAUCAGAUAGAGUUGCCCUUCCUUUGUAAAAAGACUUGUCCAGUGCAGAGCUGCAGUCCUGUGAAUCCAGCAGUGGUUGCAGCUGUGGACAGGAAAUGAAGGGAGAAAACCUAGUGUAUUGAAUGUAUGGCCAAUAAUAGAGGGAAAGCUAAAAUGAAUAAAUAGUUUGGAAGAUAACCCAGCAAAGAGCACAGAGGUAGAAAAAGGUUUUAACUUGGGCUUAGGGAUUAAAAGAGGAUCUACAUAUCUGUCUUAAAGUCAUUCACAUGAUUUGCUUGCAGGGUGAAAUACUGUGCUGAAGUCAGUGUACAAACUUUCCCAAAAGUUGUGAAUAUGUGAAAUUUAUGGAAAAUGAGCUCAAUGGGAAGGAGAAGCUGAGGGAACAGGAGUGACUGUAAUCACCUGGGAAAAGCUGAAAAUGAAAAGUCACUGCAAAGAUGGCAGCUGCUGUGAGACAGAGCUGAGCUGGAGAGACCUUUAAUCCCACCUUGCUAUUGUUGCAGCAGAGUUUCUCCAGCCUGUGGCAUCUUCAUCUGAAUUAAAUAUUAAACCCCCAGGCUUUUUUGGUUCCCUGAAUUGGCAACCUGGCAGGUAGAGGGCCUUCGAAGAGAUGGAAAUGGAGGGUUUGGGGCUGACACAACUUGAGUGGUGGUGGUAGUUCAUGCUGUUCCCAAAAUGUGUCUUGAACCUUUACGUACAGGAAACAUAACUUCACCCCUGACAGUAGCAUGUGGGAAAAUGUAAACUUACACAGUUAGUCUUUGGUUCUUCAGCCUUUGUAGUUAUGAACACUAUAAAAAGUAGAGUGUGAGAUUUGGAAAAGGGUUUUAUGUCAACAAGACCUAGGGACCCAUAGGUGAUUAUUUGUGGUGGGUAAGCAAAAUAGUUAACUGAAUGUGUCUCUAGACUUCCUACCCUCAAAGUGUGCAGGAAAGCUCUGCAUGUCUUUUCAAGCUGUGUUUUUUUUUUCCAGUUGCAGACUGGGAGACAACAGUGCAUUGUUUAACCUCAUACCUAUUUCUGGGAAGUUACAACAAAAUAGGAGCUGGGAGUAAAAGCUCUCUGAGAAGUGCAUAUUUGAUUCUGGGACAGAAAUCUGCAGUUGGGUUUGAAUUCCACAGGAGAGGCUGCUGCCACCGAUACCGCAAAAUGAGGAUCUGGAGCGUACAGAGGAGAGAGGGUGGCUGCUUCCCAGGAUUUCCUGUAUUUCAUUCCUUGCCUGUAAUUAAUUAUAGUAACAUUAUGAAAUUCUAGUCUUUGUAGUGGCUUUAUCAAAACUCCUACCAAUUCCCAGCACAGUGAAACUUUUCUUACGAAUUUAACCUCUGUAUUUGCUCUGUGAGUGGGAACCUCUGAUGCUUGCCAGUUUCCGUCCCUCUGGUGAUUUUGCAAAGUGUAAUCAUUGUAAAAUGCAAUUGCUUAAUAUGUAGCUCAUUCACUAAAACCCCAAGGAUAAGAGGCAGUGAGUAAUGCGAGUCAUUACCAGAGCAAUAGUUUCUAAAGAGAUGAAGAGUCAUGCAUCACAUAUCAAUCAAUUUAGACUUAAAUGAAGAAUUUAUAAAAAUCACUGGUCAGAUGUGAUCGAUAUCGUUCCCAGGCAAAUUAAAGUAGCUUCCCUGGAGUCAUGCGCUGCUUCUGAUGUUUCU